UACGUAGGGCGCAAGCGUUUGUCCGGAAUCACUGGGCGUAAAGGGCGCGUAGGCGGCUCAUGAAGGCUGUGGUGAAAGUCCGGGGCUCAACCUCGGAUCGGCCGUGGCGACUCGUGGGCUGGAGCACUGUAGAGGCGGGUGGAAUUCCGGGUGUAGCGGUGGAAUGCGUAGAGAUCCGGAAGAACACCAGUGGCGAAGGCGGCCCGCUGGGCAGUGGCUGACGCUGAGGCGCGACAGCGUGGGGAGCAAACAGG
Molecule: ribosomal RNA, 254 nt
Filed under: uncultured bacterium
Lineage: Bacteria
Description: partial 16S ribosomal RNA
Rfam family: Bacterial small subunit ribosomal RNA
Source: RNAcentral